GAUGAACGCUGACAGAAUGCUUAACACAUGCAAGUCUACUUGAACUUCGGUUUGGGUGGCGGCCGGGUGAGUAACGCGUAAAGAACUUGCCUCACAGUUAGGGACAACAUUUGGAAACGAAUGCUAAUACCUGAUAUUAUGAUUUUAGGGCAUCCUAGGAUUAUGAAAGCUAUAUGUGCUGUGAGAGAGCUUUGCGUCCCAUUAGCUAGUUGGAGAGGUAACGGCUCACCAAGGCGAUGAUGGGUAGCCGGCCUGAGAGGGUGAACGGCCACAAGGGGACGGAGACACGGCCCUUACUCAUACGGGAGGCAGCAGUGGGGAAUAUUGGACAAUGGACCAAAAGUCUGAUCCAGCAAUUCUGUGUGCACGAUGACGUUUUUCGGAGUGUAAAGUGCUUUCAGUUGGGAAGAAAAAAAUGACGGUACCAACAGAAGAAGUGACGGCUAAAUACGUG
RNAcentral lists this ribosomal RNA (454 nucleotides) under uncultured bacterium. Its description in RNAcentral is "partial 16S ribosomal RNA". It matches the Rfam family "Bacterial small subunit ribosomal RNA", at positions 28 to 507 of the family's 1533-position model. The record is from RNAcentral.